CACGUGGGUGAUCUGCCCAAACUUCGGGAUAAGCCUGGGAAACUGGGUCUAAUACCGGAUAUGACCGGCUCCUGCGAUGGGGUUGGUGGAAAGCUUUGCGGUUGGGAUGGGCCCGCGGCCUAUCAGCUUGUUGGUGGGGUAAAUGGCCUACCAAGGCGACGACGGUAGCCGACCUGAGAGGGUGAUCGGCCACACUGGGACUGAGACACGGCCCAGACUCCUACGGGAGGCAGCAGUGGGAAUAUGCACAAUGGGCGCAAGCCUGAUGCAGCGACGCCGCGUGAGGGAUGACGGCCUUCGGGUUGUAAAACCUCUUUCGCCAGGGACGAAGCGCAAGUGACGGUACCUGGAGAAGAAGCACCGGCCAACUACGUG
RNAcentral lists this ribosomal RNA (375 nucleotides) under uncultured bacterium. RNAcentral describes it as "bacterial SSU rRNA". It matches the Rfam family "Bacterial small subunit ribosomal RNA", at positions 114 to 507 of the family's 1533-position model. The record is from RNAcentral.